Molecule: ribosomal RNA, 569 nt
Filed under: uncultured bacterium
Lineage: Bacteria
Description: partial 16S ribosomal RNA
Rfam family: Bacterial small subunit ribosomal RNA
Source: RNAcentral
UGGGGAAUAUUGCACAAUGGGCGCAAGCCUGAUGCAGCCAUGCCGCGUGUGUGAAGAAGGCCUUCGGGUUGUAAAGCACUUUCAGCGAGGAGGAAGGUGGUGAGCUUAAUACGCUCAUCAAUUGACGUUACUCGCAGAAGAAGCACCGGCUAACUCCGUGCCAGCAGCCGCGGUAAUACGGAGGGUGCAAGCGUUAAUCGGAAUUACUGGGCGUAAAGCGCACGCAGGCGGUUUGUUAAGUCAGAUGUGAAAUCCCCGGGCUCAACCUGGGAACUGCAUUUGAAACUGACAAGCUAGAGUCUCGUAGAGGGGGGUAGAAUUCCAGGUGUAGCGGUGAAAUGCGUAGAGAUCUGGAGGAAUACCGGUGGCGAAGGCGGCCCCCCUGGACGAAGACUGACGCUCAGGUGCGAAAGCGUGGGGCAGCAAACAGGAUUAGAUACCCUGGUAGUCCAGCGCUGUAAACGAUGUCGAUUUGGAGGUUGUGCCCUUGAGGCGUGGCUUCCGGAGCUAACGCGUUAAAUCGACCGCCUGGGGGAGUACGGCCGCAAGGUUAAAACUUAAAUGAAUUG